UCGAACUGUUUAAGCCCAGAAAGCCCAGAUUGUUUUCUGACAGCAACUUUGGAGGCUUUGAUCUCCUUGUUGUGAUGUUUUUUGACCAAAGUAUUGGUUGGGUGUUGUAGUGUUACCUUAAUACUACAAUACCAAAGUUUUAGAUAGUCCAGAACAUGCACAGAUUGAAAAUUACAAGUGGUCAAAGUAGCACCCUUGCACUGCCGGCUGUCAGUGUUCUUGAGGCCAAGAACACC
Molecule: long non-coding RNA, 236 nt
Filed under: Panax ginseng (ginseng)
Lineage: Eukaryota; Viridiplantae; Streptophyta; Magnoliopsida; Apiales; Araliaceae
Description: long non-coding RNA (PGIN_LNC000126)
Source: RNAcentral